UACCAGCUCUCCGAGUGGUAGGGAUGAUUAUUGGGCUUAAAGCGUCCGUAGCCGGCCCAGCAAGUCCUCCGUUAAAUCCAGCGACCUAAUCGUUGGGCUGCGGGAGAUACUGCUGGGCUAGGGGACGGGAGAGGCCGACGGUAUUCUCGGGGUAGGGGUGAAAUCCUAUAAUCCCGGGAAGACCACCAGUGGCGUAGGCUGUCGGCUAGAACGCGCUCGACGGUGAGGGACGAAAGCUGGGGGAGCGAACCGGAUUAGAUACCCGGGUAGUCCCAGCUGUAAACGAUGCGGGCUAGGUGUUGGGGUGGCUACGAGCCACUUCAGUGCCGCAGGGAAGCCAUUAAGCCCGCCGCCUGGGGAGUACGGCCGCAAGGCUGAAACUUAAAGGAAUUGGCGGGGGAGCACCACAAGGCGUGAAGCUUGCGGUUC
RNAcentral lists this ribosomal RNA (429 nucleotides) under uncultured archaeon. Its description in RNAcentral is "bacterial SSU rRNA". It matches the Rfam family "Archaeal small subunit ribosomal RNA", at positions 474 to 903 of the family's 1478-position model. The record is from RNAcentral.